Molecule: long non-coding RNA, 353 nt
Organism: Cygnus olor (mute swan)
Lineage: Eukaryota; Metazoa; Chordata; Aves; Anseriformes; Anatidae
Exons: 3
Source: RefSeq, a predicted model, not a curated record
GAAAAGCAUGCAGAGCUUUCCUCACUGUCAUCUAUGUUGGUCUUCUGCCCUUCAGCCACAUGAACAACACCAGGAGCCUGACUGCUGCCACUGUCCUGAACUGGUGAUGGUGUUUGUGUAUAGCAAUGUCUAGCAUAAACUUAUUGGAGAAGUCAAUAGCCGCUUGAGUAUGCUGGGAGCCUGAAGUUUCUAUGUAACUGGAGUAGAUUUCUGUGCAACCCAUAUGCACAGACUAUGGCAAGAGAGUGAAUGGGAGGAAACCUGACCAGACCAUGGGAUAAAUCCUGCUGCGUUUGAGACAUGUAUAUCUGCUAAAAUGUAAGUGACACAUGUAGUCUUAAAAAUAAACCUAA